Schistosoma curassoni is the source of this 48-nucleotide non-coding RNA. NCBI's taxonomy places the organism in Eukaryota, Metazoa, Platyhelminthes, Trematoda, Strigeidida, Schistosomatidae. The record is from Rfam.
AUCCAGCUGACGAGUCCCACAUAGGACGAAACGCGCGUCAGACUGGAA